RNAcentral lists this long non-coding RNA (8480 nucleotides) under Salmo salar (Atlantic salmon). RNAcentral's name for it is "lncRNA (ENSSSAG00000103980.1)". The record is from RNAcentral. Lineage: Eukaryota; Metazoa; Chordata; Actinopteri; Salmoniformes; Salmonidae.
CAGUAAAUGGUCGACCUGGUGUCGUUGCCUUACCUCGCACUCGCUCACGCAGGACUAGCCAUUUUUUUUCUUCUGUAAUGAAUCUGCUAUUGUCCGGUUGGAAUAUUAUCAAAAUUCUACGAUAAUAACACCCUAAAGAUUGAUUGUGAACAUGGUUUGACAUGUUUCUACAAACGCUGAGGGAACUUUAUAACUUUUCGUCGACGGUGGAUAGAUGCAUUUUGGAAUGGUGUUCUAGACACGCCAUCAAAACGGAUUUAUUUCGACAUAAAUGAUGGAGUUUAUCGAACAAAUGAACAUUUCUUGUGGAAGUGGGAGACCUUCCGAGUGCAUUCAGCCGAAGAUUAGCAAAGGUAAGAUCAUAUUUUUAACAUAUUUCAGCGUUUUGUGGAUGCCGUGGCUGGACGGCUAACUGAAUAGCUUGGGGCUCAGUACUCAGAAUAUUGAACAAUGUGCUUUCUACGUAAAGAUAUUUUGAAAUCUGACACCGCGGGUGCAUAAAAGAGUACUGUAUCUAUAAUUCUUAAAAUAAUUGUUAUGUAUUUUGUCAACGUUUAUGAUGAGUAUUUUUGUAAAUUCACCGGAAGUUUUUGGUGGGAAUAUAUUUUCUGAAUGUCACGCGCCAAUGUAAAAUGGGUUUUUUGGAUAUAAAUAUGAACUUGAUGGAACAAAGAAUGCAUGUAUUGUCUAACAUAAUGUCCUAGGAGUGUCAUCUGAUGAAGAUCGUCAAAGGUUAGUGCAUAAUUUUAGCUGGUUUUGUGCUUUUGGACGGCUACCCUUGCUUGGAAAAUGGCUGUCCUUGCUAGGAAAAUGGCUGUGUUGUUGUUUUGUUGCUGUGGUGGUAUCCUAACAUAAUCUAAUGUUUUGCUUUCGCUGUAAAGCCUUUUUGAAAUCGGACAACAUGGUUGGAUUCAGGAAAGGUUUAUCUUUCAAAUGGUGUAAAAUAGUCGUAUGUUUGAGAAAAUUGAAUUGUGGUAUUUCGUGCCAUGCGAUCCCAUUGGCUGUUAGCUAGGGGUUCCGCUGGCGGAACGGGGUUCCGCUAGAUGUAAGAGGUUAACAAUUUAUUCAUUUGAUCCUCCCCCCACUACAUGGCAGAAAGGUAGGCCUCACUUGAAGUCCCACAGAGAACAAAGAAAAACUUUAUUUACAGCCCUUAUAUAACCAUGACGCCCCCUUGGACUACGAUUGAGCUAGCUACAGUAACAGUCCACCCACAAAACCCAUUCGGACCUUAUAGGGGUGCCCUGUGUUAAGGUUCAGCUUCAUGUGGCAACAGGAAAUGGCUUAAUUCAUCCUCAAAUGAUCCUUCAUUCUCUCCCUGCAGGUACACAAUAACAAUGUUUUCAACCGUCUGUAGAAGUCAUUUCUUAACAUGAAGAAUUGAAACUUGAAACUUGAAAUUGAAUUUCAGCUUCCUGCGAUUACAGGAAAUUACUUAAUUGAGGGUCAUAGGAGUAGUUUCGAAGUGUUAAAAAGGUUAAAUCUUCUCGAAUGUGUCUGUCUGUCUGUCUGUCUGUCUGUCUGUCUGUCUGUCUGUCUGCCUGCCUGCCUGCCUGCCUGCCUGUCUGUGAGUGUAUAUGUCUGUCUGCUUGGCUGCCUAUGUCUGUCUGUUGUCUGUCUGUCUGUCUGUUUCGCUGUCUAUCUGUGUGUGGAUAUGUCUAUCUGUCUGCCUGCCUGUCUGUGAGUGUAUAUGUCUGUCUGUCUGUUUCUGUUUGUCUGUGAGUGGAUAUCUGUCUGCCUUUCUGUCUGUCUGCCUGUCUGUUUGUCUGUUUGUCUGUCUGCCUGUGUCUGUCUCUCUCUCUCUUUCUGUCUAUCUGUCUGUGUAAAUUUACCCAUUGCAGAUUUAUCACUAAAUGUAUUGCCUUGAAAGCAAUGUAUGCAUAUCUAUGCGUCAAUAUCCCGGUUGUGGAGGUGGGAGAGAGGAAAGAGGUGGAGAUGGGAGAGAGGAGGGAGAGAGAGAGAGAGAGAGAGAGAGGGGGGGGUUAAUGGAGGGGGAGGGAGGGAAAGAAGGAGGGAGAAAGAACUGAGAGGACAAGAGGGAGAGAGAGAGGAGGAAAGUGAGGAAACUGCGAGAGAGGGGAGAGAGAGAGAGAGGGAGAGGGUAAAGGAGGAAGGGGAGAGAGAGGAGGGAGGGGAGAGAGAGUCAACAGACAGACUAUCUAUGUGUCAAUAUCCUGUCUGUGGGUGUGGGAGAGAGGAGAGAGAGGUGGAGGUGGGAGAGAGAGGAGGGAGAGAGAAGAGGGAGAGAGAGAUGAGAGGAGGGAGGGAAAGAAGGAGGGGGAGAGAAUGGAGGGGGAGGGAGGAGGGAGAGAGAGAUGAGAUGAGGGAGAGGGAGGGAAAGAAUGAAGGAGAGAGAAUGGAGGGGUAGAGGAUGGAGAGAGUGAGGGAGAGGGGAGGGUGAAGGGAGCAGGGGGAGAGAGAGGAGGGAGAGGAGGGAGAGGAGAUAGAAAGAGGAGGGAGAGAGGGGGGAGGGAGAGAGAGAGGAGGAAGAAAGUCAGAAGGAUAGGGUGGAGGCGGUGAAAGAGGGGGGAGGGGGAGAGAAGACAAGGUGGGAUAAAAAAGAGGUAGAGAGAGACGGGGACAGGGUGGCAAAGAGAGGGACAGAGAAGGAGGGAAAGAGAGAGAGAAGAGAGAAAGAAAGAGAUGGAGGAUUAGAGAACAGAUAGAGAUACACAUAGAGAUGCCUGUCUUUUUCACUCAGGUCCCCCUUCCAGCAUUCGGGAAUAUCCCGCAUUGGGGAACACAUGCAAUGUCUAUUUCUAUGAGCACAAACACUGUUCAUGACACAAACUGUUCACACCCCUCUUGUUGGUGUGAACAUUUUGCAGGUUUGAAGUUUAUUUCCUUCAAUUAUACACAUUUUGUCAUGGGAUGGAGAGAAAAGGUUGCAGUUUUAAAGCAAUUUUUUUCUCCAUACAUUUUGCCAUGUCUAAUGUGUAUUCAUGUGAUAUUUGAGUGACUCGAACAUUACUACAAAAUCUACGGGCUAAAGAACCUAGCUAAAAAAACGUUAGCUGACAUGGGCUAGUUGAUCUGGACAUUUCUGACAAGUGAUAAAAAGCCCUCUGAGGUCUGCAAUGACUGACAUGACAAGAGGAAUACUGAUGAUGCAAUACCCAAUUUCCAGAUUUCACCUUGUGCAUUCUACUAUUACAACUUUCAACAGUAAGUUGAAAAUUGGACUGACUUCCUUAAUUAAAAACGUUCCUUUUUCGCGCCGACCUCUCGCGCUGACCUCUCGCGCCCCCCAGGGGGCUCACCCCACAGUUUGGGAACCACUGGUCUGGAUAGCAGCACACUGGAGUGAACCCCCAUAUGGCUCCUUCUGGGCUGAGUAUGGCCUACAUCUCUCCCCUACCUAUUGGACGCAGUCCAAGGGCGCAUCACCAGAGUGAGCCUGAGGGGAGAGACCGUGGGCUGAGCAUCCAGCUGCUGUCCCAGUUGUUCGGUAAACACUGCUAGGAUUAGUCUUCCCUAAUGGAAGAGGGGUCAGAGGUUGAUUGCUUGUGCCCUGUCCUGUGGGCUGCAUAACAUGCUCUUCUUUCCGGCUAACCCCAUGAAUAGAGUUCCUUUCUGGACUGUCUGUGUGUGUUGGCCUCUUAGAGUACACUGUCACAACACCUAUCAGGAGAAAAAUGGAAAGGGCAUACGCCCACAAAUAUGUAAAUGUGCGCGUACACACAAACACACAUGCACUCACUUACUCACUCACCCUGAAGCACCUCGAUGAAAUCUUAUUCACACUAGGUCACCCCAGGUCUCUUACAAGCGUAAUGGGGUUUGAUAAGCUGCCAUUUUGUUUCAUCAACUCAUAACCAUAGUUGAUAAUUUAAGGUCAGGGUAAUAUGAACUCACCUCAAAUAUACAGUACAACAUCUACAAUAUUAACCUGUUAAGGAUAGGGGGCAGUAUUUUCACGGCCGGAUAAUAAACGUACCGAUUUAAUCUGCUUAUUACUCCUGCCCAGAAACUGUUUGAUUUGGAUAGAAAACACCCUAAAGUUUCUAAAACUGUUUGAAUGGUGUCUGUGAGUAUAACAGAACUCAUAUGGCAGGCCAAAACCUGAGAAGAUUCUAAACAGGAAGUGCCCUCUCUGACCAUUUCUUGGCCUAUAGCCUCUUUAUCGAAAACAGAGGAUCUCUGCUGUAACGUGACAUUUUCUAAGACUCCCAUAGGCUCUCAGAAGGCGCCAGAAGGUUGAAUGAUGACUCUGCAGUCCCUGGCUGAAAAACAGUAGCGCAUUUGGAUAGUGGUCGAUCUGAGAACAAUGAGACGGGUGUGCGCAUGCACGUGAAGAGUCCAUUUUACAUUUUCAGUCUUUGAACGAAAACAACGUCGCUCGGUCGGAAUAUUAUCGCUAUUUUCCGAGAAAAAUCGCAUAAAAAUGUAUUUUAAACAGCGUUUGAUAUGCUUCGAAGUACGGUAAUGGAAUAUUUUGAAAUUUUUUGUCACGAUAUGUGCCGGCGCGUCACCCUUCGGAUAGUGUCUUGAACGCAAGAACAAACGCAGCUAUUUGGAUAUAACUAUGGAUUAUUUGGAACCAAACCAACAUUUGUUGUUGAAAUAGAAGUCCUGGGAGUGCAUUCUGACGAAGAACAGCAAAGGUAAUCCAAUUUUUCUUGGAUCUGAGUUUGGUGAGUGCCAAACUUGGUGGGUGUCAAAUUAGCUAGCCAUGAUGGCCGGGCUGUCUACUCAGAAUAUUGCAAAAUGUGCUUUCACCGAAAAGCUAUUUUAAAAUCGGACAUAGCGAGUGCAUAGAGGAGUUCUGUAUCUAUAAUUCUUAAAAUAAUUGUUAUGUUUUUUGUGAACGUUUAUCGUGAGUAAUUUAGUAAAUUCACCGGAAGUAUGCUAGUUCUGAACGUCACAUGCUAAUGUAAAAAGCUGUUUUUUGAUAUAAAUAUGAACUUGAUUGAACAAAACAUGCAUGUAUUGUAUAACAUAAUGUCCUAGGAGUGUCAUCUGAUGAAGAUCAUCAAAGGUUAGUGCUGCAUUUAGCUGUGGUUUUGGUUUUUGUGACAUUGUAUGCUAGCUUGAAAAAUGGGUGUCUGAUUAUUUCUGGCUGGGUACUCUCCUGACAUAAUCUAAUGUUUUGCUUUCGUUGUAAAGCCUUUUUGAAAUCAGACAAUGUGGUUAGAUAAAGGAGAGUCUUGUCUUUCAAAUGGUGUAAAAUAGCCAUAUGUUUGAAAAAUUGAAGUUUUGGGAUUUUUGAGGAGUUUGUAAUUCGCGCCACGCCCUAUCAUUGGAUAUUGGAGCGGUGUUCCGCUAGCGGAACAUCUAGAUGUAAGAGGUUAAUUAAUAUGUGGACUAUAGGCUUAGAGCACACAUUAGAUGUUAUUUUGUUAUUAAGCGCAUUAUAUUUUAUACAUAGUGUUCUAAGUUUUUGUCAUAUGUUAAGUCCCUUUUUGGCUUGAUCUCUGUGCUUUUGAUGUCUGGGGAGACGUGGACAGUAAAUGACGAUGGCAAAUUUAUGAACAGAUGGGUCCCUUUGUUUCUUACAGCAGAGGCCCAGAUACACUCACGCACACUCGCCCGCACAUACACACACACACACACUGUAGUACAUGUCGCAUUCCAGUCACACACAUGCUGCUAUCUAUGCACACGUUUUUUUUUGUUAAAGUGCUCACUUUCUUUCACGCUGCUAGGCAGCCGCGAAUUCACAAAGCGUGGCAUGCAUAAUUAUCGCAGUCACUUGCAUUAUCACAUUUAGAGAAAGGCAGUUGCAAUUCCACACAGACAUCAGGCAAAGUGUAGUGUCAUAUGCACACUGACAAACAACAGUACAUAAUGCAUAAUGGUGCAAAUACACUGGAGGUAAUGCAGUCAAAUGAUGGUUCGAGACAAUAAUAUAUGCGUAGUACCAUCAGUGACUAUCAAAGUGCCUGUUUAAAAAAACAGAUAGCUGAAAGCAGAGGGGACCAACCCAUUUUGAGAACAGUUCCCUCAAUCCCUCAAUUAUAUCUGGAGUAUUUCUCCUGUCUUAUCCGGUGUCCUGUGUGAAUUUAAGUAUGCUCUCUCUAAUUUUCUCUUUCUUUCUUUCUUUCUUUCUUUCUUUCUUUCUUUCUUUCUCUCUCUCGGAGGACCUGAGCCCUAGGACCAUGCCUCAGGACUACCUGGCAUGAAGACUCCUUGUUGUCCCCAGUCCACCUGGCCGUGCUGCUGCUCCAGUUUCAACUGUUCUGCCUGCGGCUAUGGAACCCUGACCUGUUCACUGUGAUUACUAUUAUUUGAUCAUGCUGGUCAUUUAUGAACAUUUGAACAUCUUGGCCGUGUUCUGUUAUAAUCUCCAGCCAGCCAGAAGAGCCAGAAGAGCCAGAAGAGGACUGGCCACCCCUCAUAGCCUGGUUCCUCUCUAGGUUUCUUCCUCGGUUUUGGCCUUUCUAGGGAGUUUUUCCUAGCCACCGUGCUUCUACACCUGCAUUGCUUGCUGUUUGGGGUUUUAGGCUGGGUUUCUGUACGGCACUUUGAUAUAUCAGCUGAUGUAAGAAGGGCUAUAUGAAUUCAUUUGAUUUGAUUUGAAUCUCAAUUUAAUGCCUGCUUACACACACACACACACACACACACACACACACACACACACACACACACACACACACACACACACACACACACACACACACACGCACACGCACACGCACACACGCACACAUGCACACACACACACUGGAGCAGUGUGUGUAAUACUGUGUAGUACUGUGUACAGAGCAAGGUUCAGUUGGGGCUGCUGUGUGGUGAUGUGAGGUGGAGACUGGAGGGAGAGUGGGGCCUCUAUGGCUGGAGGUCUUUGUUCCUCAUUCAUGUGUUCUGCUCUCCUCUGAUGAUGGGCCUAUUGUCCCAGCCUCCACUGGACCUGCACUCUUCAGCCACACUGAUAAAGCCCCCUUUCACACAGCAACCCAGUGAGAGCGGGAAGAGAGAGGCAGAGAUUGAGAAAGAAAGGAAAGCGAUGGGAGAGUGGAAAGGGGAAAGAGAUGGGAACAGGAAAUAUGGAGAGAAGAAGAGAUGGUUACAGACAAAGAGAGAGGGUGACAGACAAAAAAGGGUUCUGGAAGAGUGAGAGAGAUUAAGGGAAUGAUUUUGCGAGCGGCAGAGAUGAAAGUAGAAAGAGGGAGAAGUAAUGCGAUGUGAGAAAGGGAAAGGGAGCCAUUGAAAGAAAUGAAAAAGAGGGAUAAAGAUUGAAGUAGAUAAAGGAAAGAAAUGGAAGGUAUACCAAAGUCAUGGUAAAGGAAGAUGAUGUGAGAAAGAGAGAAAAGGAAAGCUACUUAGCAUUAAAACUGUGCUCAUGGGAGUUUUACUUACUAAAACAUGUCUAUCAGAGACUGAUCCAAGAUCAGCCCUCGGUAUAAAAUAAUUGUACUCCUCUCCCUAGCUGUCUCCCUCACCUUGCACCAUUGGAGUUUGAUUAUGCCUAACUGUACAACCAAACUCAGUCAACAUGUCCCGUACAAGAUACUGCCUUGGGCGCUCUUGAAUAUUUGGCUGGGUUAAAAUCAUACAUCUCAGUGUUUUAUGCAACCUUUUACACGCUCUUUGGAAAAUCAAACGGUAUAAAAGCCUGACAAAAUAAGCUCUGAUUUUGAACUUCUAACUCAAGGAGAGCUUUUUGCUGGGCCCUAAUGAGCUUGGGAUCAAGCCUCUGACUCGCGAUGCCCCUGGCACUUGCUCAACCAAACACCGCUCAUGCAGAUCAUUUAUUUAUCAUGUGUGUAACCAUGUGACUACAACCGAACAUGUUUUUCGGAGAGCAGGAGGAGGAAGAAGGAGGGGGAAAAGUGUGGUGUUUCUGCUUGCAUGUCAUUGGGAGCCUGAGAUGACGCUGUUGAGAAUGUCACAAAGAAUUUGGUAAUUCCUCCAUGGUCUGGCCUUGAGGCCAUCUCUCUCCACAGGAUUAGGAGGCAAAGCGGUACAUAUUCGUAAUGGCUGUGUCUUUCCACAGCCUGACACAGACACACAGCGUACACACAGCGUACAUACACACACACACAGCGUGCGCACGAACACAGCACACACCCUCACACACACACACACACACACACACACACACACACACACACACACACACACACACACACACACACACACACACACACACACACACACACACACACACACACACACACACACACACAGAGGAAGGGAUGGAUUACCACCAUAGACCAGGGAAAGAGAGAGGUCGGCUGGUCAUUCAGAGGUUAAUGAGUUGCCAGUCGUCUGUUAUAUGGAAAAGAGAGAGAGGAAAUAGGACCUGAAAGGAUUCAUAAGAGGAUUUGUCUGAUAGGCAUGAAAAUUAACUUCCCACUUCUCACAUCCAUCAUAUCUUUCAAAGAAACACACUCCCACAAACUCCCACCCACACCUUUUACUAAAAAUAAAAUGUUUUACACUUAAAUGUCUAGAUUGUGUCCCACAUCCAUAUCUUUCAAGAAACACAAACUCUCACAAACACCCACCCACACCUUUUACAAUAAAUAAAUAAAAAU